This 426-nucleotide ribosomal RNA is filed under the name uncultured Amoebophrya. Its description in RNAcentral is "partial Bacterial large subunit ribosomal RNA". It matches the Rfam family "Bacterial large subunit ribosomal RNA", at positions 10 to 484 of the family's 2925-position model. The record is from RNAcentral. Lineage: Eukaryota; Dinophyceae; Syndiniales.
ACUAAGCGCACCUGGUGGAUGCCUUGGCAGCUGAAGGCGAUGAAGGACGUUGUAGCCUGCGAUAAGUCUCGGGGAGCCGGCAAACAGGCUUUGAUCCGGGAAUUUCCGAAUGGGGAAACCCGGCCUCCUUAUGGAGGUCAUCACAUGCUGAAUACAUAGGCAUGUGAGGCGAACGCGGUGAACUGAAACAUCUAAGUAACCGCAGGAAAGGAAAUCAAUUGAGACUCCCUUAGUAGCGGCGAGCGAACGGGGACCAGCCCUUAAGCUUCUUUCGUGUUAGUGGAAUGCUCUGGAAAGUGCAGCCAUAGUGGGUGAUAGCCCCGUACGCGAAAAUGCGAUUGAAGUGAAAUCGAGUAGGUCGGGACACGUGUUAUCUUGACUGAAUAUGGGGGGACCAUCCUCCAAGGCUAAAUACUCCUAACUGAC